Molecule: ribosomal RNA, 263 nt
Filed under: uncultured bacterium
Lineage: Bacteria
Description: partial 16S ribosomal RNA
Rfam family: Bacterial small subunit ribosomal RNA
Source: RNAcentral
CGGGACGGGUGGAGUAACGACGUGGAGGAACCUAGCCGUAUACUGGGGGAGUAACAACUUAGAAAUAAGGUGCUAAUACCGCAUAAGCGCACAGCUUCGCAUGAAGCAGUGUGAAAAACUCCGGUGGUAUACGAUGGAUCCGCGUCUGAUUAGCUGGUUGGCGGGGUAAAGGCCCACCAAGGCGACGAUCAGUAGCCGGCCUGAGAGGGUGAACGGCCACAUUGGGACUGAGGCACGGCCCAAACUCCUACGGAAGGCAGCAG